AAUGAACGUUGGCGGCGCGGAUUAGGCAUGCAAGUCGUGCGAUAACCCCGCAAGGGGGGAAAGCGGCGAAAGGGAGAGUAACGCGUGGGUACCUGCCACUUGGUCCGGACUAGCUGCGGGAAACUGCAGGUAAUGCCGGAUAAUAUUCUCGGAUCAAAGGUGUGCUUCCGCCGAGGGAGGGGCCCGCGUUCUAUUAGCUAGUUGUUAGGGUAAUGGCCUACCAAGGCGACGAUGGCCACCGGGUGUGAGAGCAUGACCCGGCUCACUGGGACUGAGACACUGCCCAGACACCUACGGGUGGCUGCAGUCGAGAAUCUUCGGCAAUGGGCGCAAGCCUGACCGAGCGACGCCGCGUGCGGGAUGAAGGCCUUCGGGUUGUAAACCGCUGUCGUAGAGGAGGAAAUGCCAUGGGGUUCUCUCCAUGGUUUGACCUAGUCUAGGAGGAGGGACGGGCUAAGUUCGUGCCAGCCGCCGCGGUAA
Molecule: ribosomal RNA, 480 nt
Filed under: uncultured bacterium
Lineage: Bacteria
Description: partial 16S ribosomal RNA
Rfam family: Bacterial small subunit ribosomal RNA
Source: RNAcentral